RNAcentral lists this unclassified non-coding RNA (1104 nucleotides) under Zea mays. RNAcentral's name for it is "misc RNA Zm00001eb301530". The record is from RNAcentral. Lineage: Eukaryota; Viridiplantae; Streptophyta; Magnoliopsida; Poales; Poaceae.
CUGUCCGCGGACUGUAAGCGCUACGCCGUCCGCCCAUCCCCGCGUCCCGCAGGCCACAGUCCUGCACUCCCGCUCGGCCGCUCCUGUCCUGCCGGCGCGCAGCGGCACGCUGCAGGCUCUGCAGCAGCUCCAGCUUGGGCGCUCGGCUGUGGGCUGCUCCGCUGCUGCCUGCUUGCUGGCUGGCUGCUCCCGCCUGGCCGCCUCCCUGCUCGCCUGCUGCUCCAGUGCUCCGCCGCUCGGUGCUGGCUCGUGCUUGUGCUCCAGCCUACAGCUCACGGCUCAGCCGAUAAUGUUGAGGUGAUCUUCCUAGAAUCACAAGUUGUGGGCAGCAGCAAUCCAUCUUCUGUUGCGGAUAACACUGUUCUUGCUUCGGCGUCAUCAGCCUCAGCCGCUGCAGAUUCUGCAGCUCUCGUUGAUAAGGCUAUUGCAAAGUUGUCUGCUGAUGUUCGUGCACACGCAACUGAUUCAAAGAGAAAGGCCAAAUCACAAGAUCCUGGUUCAAACAGCACCUUGCCGGUGGAUUUUCUGAUACGACAAAAAUGUUCAAUGGUUCCAGAAGUAGUUUCGAAGGACAUGUAUGCUUAUUUGAAAAGGAACACAAGGCUUGGGAUUUUGUUGAAAGUGAGGAAGGAGGACAGGAAGAUGGUGAUGCUACUGAACCUGAACAAAAGGGAGGAUGAGUUGGAUUUGAAGCAAGGCUCUCUCGCGGUGGACGCCGCCGGUCCUUGCCCUCCGCUGAUACUACCGGAGUACCGGGAGAUCCGAGAGGAAGAAGCAGCGCAGAAAGCAGGAGGCGCCGUGCGCUUGCUGACAAUGGUCAAAAGUAGCUAUAGCAGCGACGGCCUGAACCUGCCGUUCUGGUGGUUUCCCCGCUUCGGCAUUACCCAUGGUCCGGUGGGAGCACCGCCCGCGAGCGGCGUGCCUCCUUUCGAAAUGUCGCCUCUCCUCCCCACCCUCCGUGGGAUGUUCUGGCCCUGUGUGUCCGACGUCGGUUGCUUUGGGCCCGGCAAGGCAGAGCUUGUCGGUGGCGGUGGCGAGGAAGUCGAAAGAGCCAAACUUGAUGCUGCUCGCGGGGGUGAAGGUUUCGACCCUGGCAGAUGCUAA